AGUGAAGUCAGUGGUGACAGCUGGGCAUCCCUUUGCUGUCCCUGCCUUACUCGAGCCCCAGGCAUAGGAUGACAAAGGGAAGCCCACAGGUCACAGAGGAG
Xyrichtys novacula (pearly razorfish) is the source of this 101-nucleotide non-coding RNA. Lineage: Eukaryota; Metazoa; Chordata; Actinopteri; Labriformes; Labridae. The record is from the annotation of a GenBank genome assembly.